CGGAUGUAGCCAAGUGGAUUAAGGCAGG
Molecule: transfer RNA, 28 nt
Filed under: Swertia perennis
Lineage: Eukaryota; Viridiplantae; Streptophyta; Magnoliopsida; Gentianales; Gentianaceae
Also listed under: 1 other name
Description: partial tRNA-His
Source: RNAcentral